UUUUAGGGGUAAAGAGUGGAUGCCUUGGCACCAGCAGGUGAUGAAGGGCGUAGCAAGUUGCGAUAAUCUCGGGGGAGCUGCAAGCAGGCUUCGAUCCCGAGGUGCCCGAAUGGGGAAACCCACAUCUCUCAAUAAAGAGAUGUAUCACACCGUUUGGUGUGAGGCGAACCUGGGGAAGUGAAACAUCUCAGUACCCAGAGGAAAAGAAAUCAAAUGAGAUUCCCUGAGUAGUGGUGAGCGAAAGGGGAGGAGCCUAAACCAGCUUAGUGUAAACCUAGGGGUGUUGCUAAGCUGGGGUUGUGGGGCAAAGUUGGGGAGAUCCCUAGAUCUCUCGAAAGAUUCUUACUAUCUAACCGAACUACAUGGGAAGGUAGGCCAUAGAGAGUGAUAGCCUCGUAGGUGAAAGGUAGUAGGAACUUUUGGACUUUGUUCCCGAGUACCGCGAAUUACGGGAAGGUUCGCGGAAAUCUGGGGGGACCACCCUCCAAGGCUAAAUACUCGCUGGUGACCGAUAGUGAACUAGUACCGUGAGGGAAAGGUGAAAAGAACCCCGGUGAGGGGAGUGAAAUAGAUCCUGAAACUCUUUACCCACAAUCCGUCAGAGGGGAGUAAUCCCUGAUGGCGUGCCUAUUGAAGAAUGAGCUGGCGAGUUGCCGUCUAUUGCAAGGUUAACCUACUUUAGUAGGGGAGCCGUAGCGAAAGCGAGUCUGAAUAGGGCGUUAGUAAUAGGCGGUAAACCCGAAGCCGGUCGAUCUAACCAUGGCCAGGGUGAAUCUGGGGGAAACCCUGGAGGAGGCCCGAACCGAUGAGCGUUGCAAAGUUCUCGGAUGAGCUGUGGUUAGGAGUGAAAGGCUAAACAAGGCCGGUGAUAGCUGGUUCUCCCCGAAACAUGUCUAGGCAUGGGCUCUGAAAGUAGCACAUGGGGGUAGAGUACUGGAUAGGUAAGGAGGCCAAAAGCUUCUAAGCCUAACCAAACUCCGAAUACCAUGUGUGUAAUUCAGGGACUCAGUCUGUAGGGGUAAGCUCUAUGGACGAGAGGGCAAGAACCCAGACUAUCGGCUAAGGUCUCUAAAAGACGCUAAGUGUUAAAGGAUGUGGAAUCUCUAAGACAGCCAGGAUGUUGGCUUAGAAGCAGCCAUCAUUUAAAGAGUGCGUAAUAGCUCACUGGUCAAGAGGUUCUGCGCCUAAGAUGUGAGGAGGCUAAGCGUCUUGCCGAAGCCAUAGGCCCUAGGAGGUAACUUCUAGGACGGUAGGGGAGCGUUCUGUAGUCAGUGAAGUCAAACUGCGAAGUUUGGUGGAGAUUACAGAAGUGAGAAUGCCAGCUUGAGUAGCACUAAGAGAGGUGAAAAUCCUCUCCGCCGGAUGCCCAAGGGUUCCAGGGCAACGAUGAUCGUCCCUGGGUUAGUCAGUACCCUAAGGUGAGGCCGAAAGGCGUAGCCGAUGGGAAGCAGGUUAAUAUUCCUGCACUAGCCGCUAUAUCUCAAGCGAUGGGGUGACGCGGAUGAGUAGGGUGAGCGUCCUAAUGGUAUGGGCGUUCAAGGUAGGAAGCUGAGAGUGAGGCAAAUCCUUGCUCUCGUUAAGGCUGAAUACCGAGUACGAGGCACUCUUCGGAGUGCCCAAGUCACCUGGGCUUGGUCCGCCAAGAAAUAACCUCUAAGCAGUAUAUAACGGCUAACUGUACCGCAAACCGACACUGGUGGGCUAGGGGAAUACCCAUAGGCGAUCGAGUGAGCCCUCGCCAAGGAACUCGGCAAGUUGGCCCCGUAACUUCGGAAGAAGGGGUGCCUCCUUUCCUUAGUGUGCUUUAUGGUACGCUAAGGAAAGAGGUCGCAGUGAAAUGGCUCAGCCGACUGUUUAUCAAAAACACAGGUCUCUGCAAACUCGUAAGAGGAUGUAUAGGGGCUGACGCCUGCCCAGUGCCGGAAGGUCAAGGGGAGGGGUUAGUGGGGUUUCCCCACGAAGCUCCAAACUUAAGCCCCGGUAAACGGCGGCCGUAACUAUAACGGUCCUAAGGUAGCGAAAUUCCUUGUCGGGUAAGUUCCGACGCGCAUGAAUGGCGUAACGAGCUGAGCACUGUCUCGGCGGGGGGCUCGGCGAAUUAGCGAGGCCAGUGAAGACGCUGGCUACCUGCGGCGGGACGGAAAGACCCCGUGGACCUUUACUGUAUCCUGGUAUUGAAUUCUGGUGCAUCAUGCGCAGGAUAGGUGGGAGGCUUUGAAGUAGCGCUUUCGGGCGCUAUGGAGCCGUCGGUGAGAUACCACCCUUGAUGUACUGGGGUUCUAACCCCUUUCGUGUAGAAAGGAGGACAGUGCUAGGUUGACAGUUUAACUGGGGCGGUUGCCUCCUAAAAAGUAACGGAGGUGUCCAAAGGUUCCCUCAGGCUGGACGGAAACCAGCCGUUGAGUGCAAAGGCAUAAGGGAGCUUAACUGCGAGACCGACAGGUCAAGCAGAUGGGAAACCAGGGCUUAGUGAUCCGGUGACUUUGUGUGGAAAAGUCAUCGCUCAGCGGAUAAAAGGUACCCCGGGGAUAACAGGCUGAUAGGGCCCAAGAGUCCAUAUCGACGGCCCUGUUUGGCACCUCGAUGUCGGCUCAUCCUAUCCUGGGGCUGUAGAAGGUCCCAAGGGUUGGUCUGUUCGCCCAUUAAAAGGGUACGUGAGCUGGGUUCAGAACGUCGUGAGACAGUUCGGUCCCAAUCUGUCGCAGGCGCUUGGGCAUUUGAGGGGGGUUGCUCCUAGUACGAGAGGACCGGAGUGAAGGAACCUCUGGUAUACCAGUUGUUUCACCAGAAGCAGCGCUGGGUAGCCAUGUUCCUAGGCGAUAACCGCUGAAAGCAUCUAAGCGGGAAGCGCGCCCCAAGAUAAGAUGCCCCUGAAGGGCCCUGGUAGAUUACCAGGUUGAUAGGGUGCAGGUGUAAGCACAGAAAUGUGUUGAGCUGAGCACUACUAAUAGCCCGUCUGGCAUAGCUAU
Molecule: ribosomal RNA, 2969 nt
Filed under: bacterium
Lineage: Bacteria
Description: 23S ribosomal RNA
Rfam family: Bacterial large subunit ribosomal RNA
Source: RNAcentral